CCUGGCUCACGAUGAACGCUAGCUACAGGCUUAACACAUGCAAGUCGAGGGGCAGCAUGGUCUUAGCUUGCUAAGGCCGAUGGCGACCGGCGCACGGGUGAGUAACGCGUAUCCAACCUGCCUUACACUCUUGGACAGCCUUCUGAAAGGGAGAUUAAUACAAGAUGUUAUCAUGAGUAAGCAUUUUCGCAUGAUUAAAGGUUUACCGGUGUAAGAUGGGGAUGCGUUCCAUUAGAUAGUAGGCGGGGUAACGGCCCACCUAGUCUUCGAUGGAUAGGGGUUCUGAGAGGAAGGUCCCCCACAUUGGAACUGAGACACGGUCCAAACUCCUACGGGAGGCAGCAGUGAGGAAUAUUGGUCAAUGGACGAGAGUCUGAACCAGCCAAGUAGCGUGAAGGAUGAAGGUUCUAUGGAUUGUAGACUUCUUUUAUACGGGAAUAAACGACUCCACGUGUGGAUUUUUGCAUGUACCGUAUGAAUAUGGAUCGGCUAACUCCGUGCCAGCAGCCGCGGUAAUACGGAGGAUCCGAGCGUUAUCCGAAUUUAUUGGUUUAAAGGGAGCGUAGAUGGGUGUUAAGUCAGUUGUGAAAGUUUGCGGCUCAACCGUAAAAUUGCAAUUGAUACUGGCAGUCUUGAGUACAGUNGAGGUAGGCGGAAUUCGUGGUGUAGCGGUGAAAUGCUUAGAUAUCACGAAGAACUCCGAUUGCGAAGGCAGCUUACUAACCUGUAACUGACAUUGAUGCUCGAAAGUGUGGGUAUCAAACAGGAUUAGAUACCCUGGUAGUCCACACGGUAAACGAUGAAUACUCGCUGUAGGCGAUAUACAGUCUGCGGCCAAGCGAAAGCAUUAAGUAUUCCACCUGGGGAGUACGCCGGCAACGGUGAAACUCAAAGGAAUUGACGGGGGCCCGCACAAGCGGAGGAACAUGUGGUUUAAUUCGAUGAUACGCGAGGAACCUUACCCGGGCUUAAAUUGCAACCGAAUAUGGCGGAAACGCUAUAGCUAGCAAUAGCGGUUGUGAAGGUGCUGCAUGGUUGUCGUCAGCUCGUGCCGUGAGGUGUCGGCUUAAGUGCCAUAACGAGCGCAACCCUUGCCGAUAGUUACUAACAGGUUAUGCUGAGGACUCUGUCGGGACUGCCAUCGUAAGAUGUGAGGAAGGUGGGGAUGACGUCAAAUCAGCACGGCCCUUACGUCCGGGGCUACACACGUGUUACAAUGGGGGGUACAGAGGGCUGCUACCACGCAAGUGGAUGCCAAUCCCAAAAACCUCUCUCAGUUCGGAUUGAAGUCUGCAACCCGACUUCAUGAAGCUGGAUUCGCUAGUAAUCGCGCAUCAGCCACGGCGCGGUGAAUACGUUCCCGGGCCUUGUACACACCGCCCG
This 1383-nucleotide ribosomal RNA is filed under the name uncultured bacterium. RNAcentral's name for it is "bacterial SSU rRNA". It matches the Rfam family "Bacterial small subunit ribosomal RNA", at positions 18 to 1396 of the family's 1533-position model. The record is from RNAcentral.